AGCUCCAAUAGCGUAUAUUUUAGUUGUUGCAGUUAAAAAGCUCGUAGCCGUAUUUCUGGUGGGAGAAUGCAGUCCGACUUUAUGUCGGUACUCGCAUCCUCCGGCCAUCCUUGGGUCUAGCCAGUUUGGCAUUAAGUUGUCGAGCUGGGGAUGCCCAUCGUUUACUGUGAAAAAAUUAGAGUGUUCAAAGCAGACUUAUGUCGUUGAAUAUAUUAGCAUGGAAUAAUAAAAUAGGACAUCAGUGCUAUUGUGGUGGUUUGCGCACCGAUGUAAUGAUAAAUAGGAACAGUUGUGGCUAUUCGUAUUCAUUUGUAAGAGGUGAAAUUCUUAGAUUAAAGGAAGACGAACUACUGCGAAAGCAUUUAGCAGGGAUGUUUUCA
This 380-nucleotide ribosomal RNA is filed under the name uncultured marine Chaetocerotaceae. Its description in RNAcentral is "SSU rRNA". It matches the Rfam family "Eukaryotic small subunit ribosomal RNA", at positions 587 to 972 of the family's 1831-position model. Lineage: Eukaryota; Bacillariophyta; Thalassiosirophyceae; Chaetocerotales; Chaetocerotaceae. The record is from RNAcentral.